GACGAACGCUGGCGGCGUGCUUAACACAUGCAAGUCGAACGGAAAGGCCCUGCUUGCAGGGUACUCGAGUGGCGAACGGGUGAGUAACACGUGGGUGAUCUGCCCUGCACUUCGGGAUAAGCCUGGGAAACUGGGUCUAAUACCGGAUAUGACCUUCCAUGUAGUGUGGGGGGUGGAAAGAUUUAUCGGUGUGGGAUGAGCCCGCGGCCUAUCAGCUUGUUGGUGGGGUAAUGGCCUACCAAGGCGUCGACGGGUAGCCGGCCUGAGAGGGUGGACGGCCACAUUGGGACUGAGAUACGGCCCGGACUCCUACGGGAGGCAGCAGUGGGGAAUAGUGCACGAUGGGCGGAAGCCGGAUGCAGCGACGCCGCGUGGGGGAUAACGGCCUUCGGGUUGUAAACCUCUUUCGACAGGGACGAAGCUUCGGUGACGGUACCUGUAUAAGAAGCACCGGCUAACUACGUG
This 465-nucleotide ribosomal RNA is filed under the name uncultured bacterium. RNAcentral describes it as "partial 16S ribosomal RNA". It matches the Rfam family "Bacterial small subunit ribosomal RNA", at positions 28 to 507 of the family's 1533-position model. The record is from RNAcentral.